Molecule: long non-coding RNA, 800 nt
Organism: Mustela lutreola (European mink)
Lineage: Eukaryota; Metazoa; Chordata; Mammalia; Carnivora; Mustelidae
Exons: 3
Source: RefSeq, a predicted model, not a curated record
GGACCAUGGAAUUUCAAGGGACACUGAAUUUCAAGGGACCAGCAUGCGUUUAGAAUGAAGACAGGAAAAUCCCAGGAGCAGCGGGAGAGAAGGAAUGACAGCUUUGCCGUGGUGUAGAACCACUCUGCAGAAAGCUCCUGCCCCAGCCCGGGCUUGGGAAGUGAAGUCACAGGAGAGCACCCACCGGUGGGCAGUAGCGCCUGUGACCUGCCUCGGGAAGAGGGAUUAUAAUGGCCGGAGGCGAGGCGCAGCUCUCAGAGGAGAGAGCCCAGCUCCCCUGCCUGGGGCUGGGCCUUUUCGAGGCCAGACUUCCCUCGUUCCCUGCAGGAGCAGCUGGGAGCUUCCAUCCGUAGGAUUUGUGCAGAGUCACGGCCAGACUGUGCUUGGUCCCUUCCCCGUCCUGUUUCCCCUGCCCCUCAAUGGUUUCUCCAAGAGCAACUUUGAAAUAAAUUUCUUCGACAUGAAACCUCAUCUUUUGGGCUAUUUCUGGGGAGACUGACCUGAAAAGACCUAAGAUGGUCGUCUUCUUCUUCAGGCAGCUGAUGGACCGAGACCUCGGCCCAUUUAGGUUUUCCUCCUAGGUGCACCUGGGUGGUUCAGUGGGUUAAAGCCUCUGCCUUUGGCUCAGGUCAUGUCUCAGGGUUUUGGGGUUGAGCCCCACAUCAGGCUGUCUGCUCAGCAGGGAUCCUGCUUCCUCCUCUCUCCCUGCCUGCCUCUCUGACUACUUGUAAUCUCUAUCAAAUAAAUAUAUAAAAUCUUUAAAAAAAAGAAGGUUUCCCUCCUAUAUCUUCCUAGAACAC